GUUUUAAUAGUUUAAAAUAAAACAUUGGUUUUGUAAACCAAAAUUGAAAAAAAGAUUCUUAAAACU
This 66-nucleotide transfer RNA is filed under the name Teredorus bashanensis. RNAcentral describes it as "tRNA-Thr". It matches the Rfam family "tRNA". From Rfam's summary of the family: Transfer RNA (tRNA) molecules are approximately 80 nucleotides in length. Lineage: Eukaryota; Metazoa; Arthropoda; Insecta; Orthoptera; Tetrigidae. RNAcentral also lists the same sequence under 1 other name. The record is from RNAcentral.